Molecule: unclassified non-coding RNA, 309 nt
Filed under: Hevea brasiliensis (rubber tree)
Lineage: Eukaryota; Viridiplantae; Streptophyta; Magnoliopsida; Malpighiales; Euphorbiaceae
Source: RNAcentral
AGAGAGAGAGAGAGAGAGACCCAAGGGUGGAAAUUUUUAUGAAGUAAAAACCAAAGUAGAUCCAAACAGAGAGAACAACAAAUACACUAAUUCACAUCAAUUUCCUCUGUAACAAGGAGUCACAAUGUUAACAAAAAAGACAAUAAAGGCUCUUGAUUAGAGCAGUCACUUGCUUUCCAAAGGGGGAUUUCACUUGUUUGUUAUAAUACUCUUUGGUUUUAACAAUGCACUCUCUUCUCUCCCUCUUUGGUUUUAGCGUAAUUAGAAUUUCAAACUUCUAAAUUUUGGAGCGUUUUGAUUUUGAAAGUA